RNAcentral lists this ribosomal RNA (513 nucleotides) under uncultured bacterium. RNAcentral's name for it is "partial 16S ribosomal RNA". It matches the Rfam family "Bacterial small subunit ribosomal RNA", at positions 28 to 523 of the family's 1533-position model. The record is from RNAcentral.
GAUGAACGCUGGCGGCGUGCCUAAUACAUGCAAGUCGAGCGAACAGACGAGGAGCUUGCUCCUCUAACGUUAGCGGCGGACGGGUGAGUAACACGUGGAUAACCUACCUAUAAGACUGGGAUAACUUCGGGAAACCGGAGCUAAUACCGGAUAAUAUAUUGAACCGCAUGGUUCAAUAGUGAAAGACGGUUUUGCUGUCACUUAUAGAUGGAUCCGCGCCGCAUUAGCUAUUUGGUAAGGUAACAGAUUACCAAGGCAACGAUGCGUAGCCGACCUGAGAGGGUGAUCGGCCACACUGGAACUGAGACACGGUCCAGACUCCUACGGGAGGCAGCAGUAGGGAAUCUUCCGCAAUGGGCGAAAGCCUGACGGAGCAACGCCGCGUGAGUGAUGAAGGUCUUCGGAUCGUAAAACUCUGUUAUUAGGGAAGAACAAAUGUGUAAGUAACUAUGCACGUCUUGACGGUACCUAAUCAGAAAGCCACGGCUAACUACGUGCCAGCCGCCGCCGUAA